AAGUAAAGUAAAUAAAAAGGAAAUAAAGGAAAGAAACAAAAGAAUAAAAAGAAGGAAGGAAACAGAAUAGCAGGAAACGAAACAGAGAAGAAACAGGGGAGAAAGAAAGAAAGAAAAGAAAAAGGGAAAAUAGGGUUUUAAAGGUUCCAAGUUAAUUUGUUAACAAAGAACCCAAGACAUCGGCGCACAAAGGAAAG
Molecule: long non-coding RNA, 197 nt
Organism: Gossypium arboreum
Lineage: Eukaryota; Viridiplantae; Streptophyta; Magnoliopsida; Malvales; Malvaceae
Exons: 2
Source: RefSeq, a predicted model, not a curated record